GACUGGAAGGAGGGUGGUUCAGCAGCAGUGAAAGCCCAGUGAAUUCCCAGUUGGGAAUGAUUUCCUUAAAAAAACAAAACAAAACAAAAACUUGUGUAGCCUGGAGAGCCCACCGUGAGAACUGCAAAUGCUGGGAACUGCAAAAAGGCAAUUUUUCCUUCUCAUUCUCUAAGGGGAAGAGAAGUGAUGUGAAAAGGGAGUGAGAAUGGAUCACAUGAGAGGAUGUUUGUGAAAACACCCUGUAAGGCAUACAAAAAAGUUAUUAAUAGAGGACAAAGCCUUGCAACAGGAGAACUUUGGAUCUUUGUGAGCUGUUUCCACCUCUGGAGUUUCUUCUCCUCGCCGGGCGGAGUCCCGCUUUCUGCCGCAAGAGGGCGGUAUGGCCACGCUGAGCUGAGUAGGCUGCAUACCCAGUGUGGAGCCCUGCACAGGAUUUGAACUCACUACCUUGAGAUUGAGGCCUGAACCAAGAUCAAGAGUAUGAUGCCUAAUGAACUGAGCCACCCAGGGGCCCCGACUUUUCCAUUAUAGCCAUCCUAAUGGAUAUAAAGUAGUAUCUCACUACGGUUUUGAUUUGCAUUUCCUUGAUAACUAUUGUUAUUGAGCCUCUUUCCAUGUGCAUUUGUAUAUCUUCUCUGGAGAAAUGUCUGUUCAGAUGCUUUGCUCAUUUUUUAAUUGAGUUAUUUGUCUUUUAUUAGUGAGUUAUAAGAAUUCUUUACCUAUUGUAGAUAUGUCUCCUAUCAGAGACAAAAACCGUGAUACACAAUAACAUGAUGAAUCUCAAAUAAUUAUACAAAGUGAAAGAAACCAGACCAAAUAAUCUAAAGAAAUCAGAUCAUGGGUGACCAGAGGGAGAGUUUGGAGGAAGGAGCAGAGAAAGAGGAUUUAUAAAAGGUCACAAGGAAACUGUUGGUGAUGAUGUUUAUUUUCAUUAUCUUGACUAUGGCAGUGUUUUCACAGGUGUAUGCAUAUGUCAAAAAUUGUCAAAUUAUACACUUUAAACAUGUGUAAUUUAUUGUUUGUCAAUCAUACCGCAAUGAAGCUAUUUCAAAAUUAUCCAAAGAACUUUACAAUAGUCUGCUGUUUCACCUUUGUCAUGUCAGUAUUUUUUCACCUGAAAGCUCCCUCUCAAUUGUACUCCCUAAAAUUUAUUUUAAUCUUCUAUAUUCACCAACGUUCUCCAAUUUCUCCCAUACCACAUUGCUCUCUUCCAGGAUAUGUCCCAUUUCCCACCACAUUCAUUGGUGUGCCUCUCCCUAAGGCUGCCCAGGUCCCAGGAUGAUGGAUGCUUAAGACCCUUGCAGAGCUUAGCCCAAUGUCUUGACUCUGGUUUAGUAUGGUGAUCAGAAGCACAACUUUGAGGCAAUAAGCAAGUUCAUUUACUUUUAUAUGCUUUAUUUUCCUCAUAUAUAAAAUGGGCAUAAAGGUACAGCAUAAAGAAUAUAGUCAAUAAAAUUGUAAUAGUGUAAUAGUGACAGAUGGUAGCUAAGUUUGUGGUGAGCCUAGCAUAAUGUAUAAACUUGUCAAACCAGGAUGUUGUACACCUUAAACUAAUGUAACAUUGUGCAUCAACUAUACUCAAAAAAAUUUAACCAACAAAAUGGGCAUAAAUAUAGCGCUUACCUCAUAGGGUUGGAGCGAUGAUGAAAUGAGUUAAUACAUAUAUAAGAUGUUUGGAUCAGUUCCUGGCAUGUAGUAAGCCUAGACAGGUGUUUGCACUUAUUUAUAUUUGGGACAAGGGUGGAGAUUUGCCAAAAAAAUUGGGUGGGCAGUUGUUUCUGGGGGAAGUUUUGGGCUGUUUGGGAAAUAGCUUCAUCGUGGUUUCUUCUUUGUGGGAAAAUCUGUUGCUGCUGGCCCUUUCUUUGUUAAAAAUUCGGAUUGAUCUUCCUUUGUCAUGUAUUUCCCUCUGUGACAUAUCUAGACAUUCAGGAUAUGGUGAACCUGUUACUAAGGGGAGAUACUGCAGGGGCAAGAUAUUGCACUGAGCCUUGAACAUGGGUUAUGUGAACCUGGGGAAAGUUAUAUCGAAUGCUCCAAAAGCUAGUAUUUUGUUUGGUCAGUUAUUUGUCAACUCACUCCUUCCUGAUUCAUCAGUGCUGUGAUAACAAGGUAGAAUAGAGAAACAGUUCUCUUCACCAGAACAGACUUAUUCUGUGGAUCCAGCAGUGUACCCUGAGCCCAGCACACCUCUCUGUAGGAUAAUAGAAGGAUGAAGGACCCCUGCUUCCUUUUUGCUUAUUGACCCAGCCUUAUGAGAAUUCCCCUUAUCAAAAAAAAAAUUUUUUUUAAAGAAUUCCCCUUAUCUAAUAAAGCCUAAUCCUUAACUAACAUAUGUGGAGUGGCAUAUUAGAUUGCAUCUUAAAUCCUGGGACAUAAUAGGAGGUGACCCAGAAAUGCCCACUUGGCAUAACAGAAACACAGUGAGAGUCAUACAGUCUAUCCUUUUGGUUCAGUUUCUGUUUAUUGUUGGCCUGGGAAUUAGGAUGAUUCUUGGGGCAGAGAAGUUCUGACAGGAUAAUUAGAAGUUGACUGUAUAAACAUCUCCAUAAAUUAAACCAAAGAAGUGUUUUUAGCACGAGCUAAAUCUAGACACUAAUUGCUUCCUUUGAUCAAAUCAAAAGGCCUUCUUUCAGUUUUUUAAAAAUUUCUAAAUUAGGGGAUCCCUGGGUGGCUCAGCAGUUUGGCGCCUGCCUUUGGCCCAGGGCAUGAUCCUGGAGUCCCAGGAUCGAAUCCCACA
Molecule: long non-coding RNA, 2737 nt
Organism: Canis lupus familiaris (dog)
Lineage: Eukaryota; Metazoa; Chordata; Mammalia; Carnivora; Canidae
Exons: 4
Source: RefSeq, a predicted model, not a curated record